Molecule: long non-coding RNA, 625 nt
Organism: Juglans regia (Persian walnut)
Lineage: Eukaryota; Viridiplantae; Streptophyta; Magnoliopsida; Fagales; Juglandaceae
Exons: 2
Source: RefSeq, a predicted model, not a curated record
CCACGCAAAAUGCAGCCUGGCAAUACACACAAAGUAGAUAGGCAAAUCAAAAGCACGUGGGAAAUUGAGAAGCAGAACAGAACAUAAAGAACGCCUUAGCUCAAACCCAUAUCAUGGCCCUGCAUGAUCCCUUGAAAUUAUUCAUUUAGGCCAACCCAGAUGCAGCAUGACAAUACACACAACGAAGAUAAACACAUGAAAAGCGAGUGAAAAAUUGAGAUGCAGAGGAAAAAAAAACAAAAACAAAAUCAAGUAGUCUUAGCUCAAACCCAUUUCAUGGCAUUGCCUGAACCCCCAGAAUUAUUUAUUUAAUCUACGCAAAUGCAGCCUGGCAAUACACACAACAUAGAUAAGCAAAUGAAAAGCAGGUCGGAAAUUGAGAAGCAAAAGAGAACAUAAAGAACAAAAUCACGUAGCCUUGGCUCAAACCCAUUUCAUGGCAUUGCAUGACCCAGAAGAGAACAUAAAGAACGCCUUAGCUCAAACCCAUAUCAUCACCUUGCAUGAUCCCUUGAAAUUAUUCAUUUAGGCCAACCCAGAUGCAGCCUGACAAUACACACAACGUAUAUACACAUGAAACGCGUGUGGAAAAUUGAGAAUCGAGGGGAAAAAAAAAAAAAAAAAA